RNAcentral lists this long non-coding RNA (1600 nucleotides) under Rattus norvegicus (Norway rat). RNAcentral describes it as "uncharacterized LOC120095261 (LOC120095261)". Lineage: Eukaryota; Metazoa; Chordata; Mammalia; Rodentia; Muridae. The record is from RNAcentral.
UCCCGAGUUCUGCCAGCCUGGGUUUGGGCAGAUACAGAGCAAGAGGAGGCGGGGCGGCGACGCAACAUCCGAUGUAUCUGCGGAGGUGGCAAGAGAUGUGCUCAGAGAGGCGGCCUGCUAGGCUGCUGCGCAUCUUCCUCAGCCACAGCAGCAGAUCCACGGAGUGUCUGACGAUCCUCCUCAGUGACUGUCCUGUCUUCCCAGUCGAGGUAUCGCUGCCUAAGGUGGCGAGAAAAUGGGUGGUUCUUAUCUCAGGAGUGGUGAACUGAUGGGAUCAGGAGUCCUGUAAGAAGGAAGAAAUCACUUUUGCCUGCAGAGAGCUGAGGGGGGGAGGAGAGGGAAGCUUUAUUACACCUCCAGAGCAGGCAAAGGGAACAGGGCAAAGAAUCCAUUUCCUUAUAGAGCCACAGCCUCCCCUUAACUCUGUCCCCCAACUUUCUCCUGAAACAUAAUUAAAAGGGUCCUUAACACAGCAAAAAGCUGGCAGGCUAGUAAAGUUCACCUGGUCUCUAAUGCAUUGUCUGAAGGUAUCAGCCAGCACUCUCCCCUCAGCCAGUCGAGUUCUUCAAACGUGCCCCAACAAGGAGUACCACAGAGGCUGCAGGUAAACGCUCUGUGGCUGGGGCUGUUGAGAGACUCUGAUAGGGCACUGUCUUUCCGCAGAGCUUUAGAAAUCCUGGGUGUAAUCAAGAUGCAGAAAACAAGUAGAUAUUCUGAAAAGAGGACAAACCUUUUGCAGAUCGAACCCAUCAGACGAUGUGGUUAGGUUGACUAUACAAUUCUGUGUUUGUUAUCCUAGAAAGCAUUUAGUAUAAACCAUGCCCUCCUUCCCGACGUUACACAGUAGAAAGUGGAGGCCCAGGUUGGGCAUUUAGCCUAUAGCAAGUGGUACAUUUUGCUUACCUUUUGCUGGACAGCAGAGAAACCAACCAAAAGCAGGAGCAGCAGUAUGUACCUACAGUCCCAGUUGCCCAGGAGGUUGGGGCAAAUGAACUCUUGAGCCCAGAAGCUCCAAGCUAGCCUGGACAAUAAAUUUGAGAUCCAUGUCUCAAAACAAGUGGAGGGGGGUAAUGAUAACAGGCAAGAAUGUAAACUUUGGGGUCUGAAUCAUCCAAUCUUGAGUAAGAUACUUAGCCUUUCUGUGACUGUUUCCUCGAUUGUAAAGUUCAGUUAUUUUUUUUUUUUUUUUUGGUUCUUUUUUUCGGAGCUGGGGACCGAACCCAGGGCCUUGCGCUUCCUAGGUAAGCGCUCUACCACUGAGCUAAAUCCCCAGCCCCGUAAAGUUCAGUUAUUAAUGACAGUACUUUCUCCAUGAAAUUAGACAAUGGGGCAGGGGUGCUGGGCACACAGCUCUGUGGUACAGUCUGUGCCUAGCAUGCUUAAGGUCCUGGCACCAGAAAUAAACGAAUUAAGCUGUGCUGGGGCAUGCUUUUGUUAUAUCCCAGCUCUUGGGAGACAGAGAUAAGUGGGUUUCUGUGAGUUCAAGGCUAGCCAGAACUACAGUGAGACCCUGUCUCAAAAAUAAGUUAGAUGACAGCCUUCUACUUGUCCAUUGCUUGGUUUAGUUAAUUCUCAAUAAAAUGCUACUUCUACCUCUGGA